UUAUUAUUAGUGUAUGAUGCACAAAAAAUUUUGAAUUUUUAGGAAAUAGUUUAAUUCUAUUAUUAUAAA
RNAcentral lists this transfer RNA (69 nucleotides) under Hypsathalia przewalskyi. RNAcentral describes it as "tRNA-Gln". The record is from RNAcentral. Lineage: Eukaryota; Metazoa; Arthropoda; Insecta; Hymenoptera; Athaliidae.